This 248-nucleotide ribosomal RNA is filed under the name uncultured bacterium. RNAcentral describes it as "partial 16S ribosomal RNA". It matches the Rfam family "Bacterial small subunit ribosomal RNA", at positions 529 to 776 of the family's 1533-position model. The record is from RNAcentral.
AGGGGGCUAGCGUUGCUCGGAAUCACUGGGCGUAAAGGGUGCGUAGGCGGGCCUUUAAGUCAGGGGUGAAAUCCUGGAGCUCAACUCCAGAACUGCCUUUGAUACUGAGGAUCUUGAGUUCGGGAGAGGUGAGUGGAACUGCGAGUGUAGAGGUGAAAUUCGUAGAUAUUCGCAAGAACACCAGUGGCGAAGGCGGCUCACUGGCCCGAUACUGACGCUGAGGCACGAAAGCGUGGGGAGCAAACAGG